This is a long non-coding RNA of Gasterosteus aculeatus aculeatus (three-spined stickleback), 1617 nucleotides long. Lineage: Eukaryota; Metazoa; Chordata; Actinopteri; Perciformes; Gasterosteidae. The record is from Ensembl.
CCUAACUGUUUAUCUGUAAUUAAUGCUAGGUGACUACACUCUGCUAACCAUAUAUUUAAACACUUUUCAACACACAUCAAACAGCCCGACACCAAAUACAGUAAUAAAACACUUACUUGGGAUAUUAUGUAAAUAGGAAGAAGCCGCACAAAUAAUGGACUCAGCCGAACCAUCAGCUGGUUGAUCUUCCAACAAACUUUUUAACGGGCUUGGAGAAACAUUCUCGACAGGACUUUCAGCAGCUAUAAUGAUCUUUUACUUUUCUGUUCAGUUUCAUGCUCACUGUCCGUCCUCUCACUCGGCCUGAGGCUUUGACGUUUCCCACCAUCUCUUCAAUCAGUGCAUUGUCCACAUCUUCGGGAAUCAGUACCAUAAGGGAGUGGUCUUCAUCUAAUUCUUCUCUUCUGCACCACUCUUUGAGCUCUUUAAAAUCUACCGUACUACGCUGCAGCUCCAUUUUAUUAAAGGCUUGUUGUUAUUCACGAUAACCUACCCACUUUUCCCAUAGGGCUACACCUGUGUCGCCUGAAGUGUGGUUGGGAUAAUCCAAUACCCCAAUCCUUUCAACAGAAAUGGAACAAAUGGUUGAGAGCUCUUUAAACAGUGGGAAGUUUUAAGUUCUUCUCUCUUGCGUCCUGCGGGUUUUCCUCCACCUGCUCUGUGCCGCCACGUCCUUCACCUGCACUGCUCAGUUCUAUCAAAAGGAUCCACCUGUCACGUGUGUGAGCGCCUCUACGUUGCUAAGUAACGAACGUACGGUGGCCGAGAAGGUUUAACACCGUCUUCUCACGAUGUGGCGCGUGAACUAUAGUUGAAAUGCGUGUGUCUCACGGUCAAUGCGUGAGGCUUCAGAACCUGCAAUGAGUGUAUUAUGUUAGACGUGUUUGGAGAAGCAUGUAACGGACCGUCUCAUCCAGCCGAGGAAACGCUGCCUGCCGUCGCCAGAGAACAGAGCAGAAAGGUCCGCGUGGAUCUCUGCUGGCCGACAGUCUGUUAAACGGGUCUUCAUGUUUCUCUGAAGCAGCGCGGCUUCAGCCCGCUAACAGUCAGCUAAACCGAGACAGCUGAGCUAAACUAAGGAAGCGCACGUUCAAACUCGCCGAAGCGUAAAAUAGUCGUCGCGGUCCGUAGUCGGUGCACAAGAACCACCGCUGCACCGAUGUGAGCGAGCGUUCUGGGUUCAUGGAUGACGUCAUCAUGACGCGAUAAUAUCCGCCGUACUUUGUCUGUCUGUUGUCUGUCAGCUGCGUGCAAAUUUAGGGGGGAAAAGUAUUGUAACUUCGUCAACCACCAACAUGUUCGUCUCGUCUCGUUAACGAAAGUUAGAAUAGAUUUAGUCAUAGUUUUUAAGAUCGGUUUUCGUCACGUCUUAGUCUCGUCUUAGUCAUGGAAAAAAGGUUUGUUAACGAAAAAUUUUCGUCGACGAAAUUAACACUGAGAUACUCGCUCUACAACAUCAGGAGAAUACGUCCUCUUCUCACUGAGAACACACCUCUUCAGACUCUACCUCGACUAAAAGACUAACAAAUUGUAGCACUUAAAUUGUACUCUAUAGCAAAUUGUAAAUUGGCUUAUUUUAGUAAAAUGCACUUUCUUGUUUCUUGUUCAUCUGAGUUU